This 69-nucleotide transfer RNA is filed under the name Micromonospora sp. CPCC 205371. Its description in RNAcentral is "tRNA-OTHER". RNAcentral also lists the same sequence under 1 other name. Lineage: Bacteria; Bacillati; Actinomycetota; Actinomycetes; Micromonosporales; Micromonosporaceae. The record is from RNAcentral.
GGGGUACGUGCUGGUGCACAGGCUCGCUUUGCAAGCCUGCCGCGCGGGGUUCGACUCCCCGGUACUCCA